Molecule: long non-coding RNA, 911 nt
Filed under: Vulpes vulpes (red fox)
Lineage: Eukaryota; Metazoa; Chordata; Mammalia; Carnivora; Canidae
Description: lncRNA (ENSVVUG00000014029.1)
Source: RNAcentral
CAGAAGAUAUGAGUUCUAGAACUUUUCCUCUGCAUUCCCUUUUCAGCUCCCUGUUUUCUUAUCUGCAAAAUGAGAUCUUUAACUACCAGCAGAGUGUGGAGCCUGCUUAAGAUUCUCUCUCUCCCCUCCUCCCUUAGCCUACUCUUCCACUCACAUGCUGUCUCUCUCUCCCACAAAAAAAUAAAUAAAAUAAUAAAAUAAAAUAAAAUAAAAUAAAAUAAAAUAAAAUAACAUCUUCAAACCUAAGUAUAAAUUUCAAGGAGAAUCCUGGAGAAGAAUUGUGUUGUUGACAAUGGCAUCUUAAAAAAAGAAGAAGAAGAAGAAGAAGAAGAAGAAGAAGAAGAAGAAGAAGAAGAAGAAGAAGAAGAAGGAGAGCUGCUGCAUCUCAAAAUGGAGAAAUGAGGGGAGGAAUGAGUUGGCUGAGGUGGCCAAAGACUCUCCUAGGAGGAAGUUCUGCCAACUACCAUGGAAAAAAUAGUCUUGUUGGAUCUUGAUUACAUUUUCCGAUCCCUAUAAGCUUAUCCAUCACUAACUCCCAGAGCUUUUCUAAGUGGGCUUAACUCUUCUCACCUCUGAGCACCCAGGAGGAACUUGUUCUCAAACUCCAAAGAAAAGCAUUUGGGAAAAUGGAUGGGAGCCAUUGAUGAAGCCCAAGAGCUCCUUGGGACAACAAACUCCACAAGAUUUUCGAGUACCUUCAGAAUAAAUCAGCCAUGGAGCUCUAGAGAAAAAGCCCAGUGUAACGCUCAAACGUGUGGAGGGGAGCGGAUCAUUUUCUACAGAACUGUGUGCAAUUCUUAUCAGGCCAAGUCCAGCUGCUCCUGGCUAACUAGCUUGCCCAAGUGACUCCCCCGGGCCCCAGCUAGGAGCAACUAAAAUAAAAUGCAAAAGGCACCACCCCUUCCCCCUCA